RNAcentral lists this unclassified non-coding RNA (343 nucleotides) under uncultured fungus. RNAcentral's name for it is "partial contains small subunit ribosomal RNA, internal transcribed spacer 1, and 5.8S ribosomal RNA". The stretch from base 1 to 73 matches the Rfam family "Eukaryotic small subunit ribosomal RNA", at positions 1759 to 1831 of the family's 1831-position model. The record is from RNAcentral. Lineage: Eukaryota; Fungi.
UCAAACUUGGUCAUUUAGAGGAAGUAAAAGUCGUAACAAGGUUUCCGUAGGUGAACCUGCGGAAGGAUCAUUAUUGAAUAAUCCUGGCUUGGUUGUUGCUGGUCUUUUUGGAGACAUGUGCACACCUAGUCAUCGUUAUAUUUCCACCUGUGCACCUUUUGUAGACUUGAAAACGGUUUUCCGAGGCAACUCGGUCGUGAGGAAUUGCUUAUACAGCUUUCCUUGAAUGUAUUCAAGCCUAUGUUUUUCAUAUACACCAUAAGAAUGUAACAGAAUGUCUUAUACACUUUAUACAACUUUCAGCAACGGAUCUCUUGGCUCUCGCAUCGAUGAAGAACGCAGC